GGGGCAGUAGCGAAGUUGGUAUCGCGCCACAAUGGCAUUGUGGAGACCACGAGUUCAAAUCUCGUCUGCUCCACCA
This 76-nucleotide transfer RNA is filed under the name Candidatus Omnitrophota bacterium. RNAcentral describes it as "tRNA-Ala". It matches the Rfam family "tRNA". From Rfam's summary of the family: Transfer RNA (tRNA) molecules are approximately 80 nucleotides in length. Their secondary structure includes four short double-helical elements and three loops (D, anti-codon, and T loops). The record is from RNAcentral. Lineage: Bacteria; Pseudomonadati; Candidatus Omnitrophota.